UACGUAGGGAGCAAGCGUUGUCCGGAAUCAUUGGGCGUAAAGCGCGCGUAGGCGGCCCUGUAAGUCCGUUGUGAAAGUCAAAGGCUCAACCUUUGAAAGCCGAUGGAUACUGCAGGGCUAGAGUCCGGAAGAGGCGAGUGGAAUUCCUGGUGUAGCGGUGGAAUGCGCAGAUAUCAGGAGGAACACCUGUGGCGAAAGCGGCUCACUGGACCACAACUGACGCUGAGGCGCGAAAGCUAGGGGAGCAAACAGG
Molecule: ribosomal RNA, 253 nt
Filed under: uncultured bacterium
Lineage: Bacteria
Description: partial 16S ribosomal RNA
Rfam family: Bacterial small subunit ribosomal RNA
Source: RNAcentral